UGGGAAUAUUGGACAAUGGGCGGAAGCCUGAUCCAGCAACGCCGCGUGAGGGAUGACGGCCUUCGGGUUGUAAACCUCUUUCAGUACCGACGAAGCGGAAGUGACGGUAGGUACAGAAGAAGCACCGGCCAACUACGUGCCAGCAGCCGCGGUAAUACGUAGGGUGCGAGCGUUGUCCGGAAUUAUUGGGCGUAAAGGGCUCGUAGGCGGUUUGUCGCGUCGGGAGUGAAAACACUGGGCUUAACUCAGUGCUUGCUUCCGAUACGGGCAGACUAGAGGCAUGCAGGGGAGAACGGAAUUCCUGGUGUAGCGGUGAAAUGCGCAGAUAUCAGGAGGAACACCGGUGGCGAAGGCGGUUCUCUGGGCAUGUCCUGACGCUGAGGAGCGAAAGUGUGGGGAGCGAACAGGAUUAGAUACCCUGGUAGUCCACACCGUAAAACGUUGGGCGCUAGGUGUGGGGGCCUAUUCCAUGGGUUCCGUGCCGCAGCUAACGCAUUAAGCG
Molecule: ribosomal RNA, 502 nt
Filed under: uncultured bacterium
Lineage: Bacteria
Description: partial 16S ribosomal RNA
Rfam family: Bacterial small subunit ribosomal RNA
Source: RNAcentral